UGAGACAGGCAAGGUCCCUGCUGUCAUGGAGUCUGCAUCCUAGUGUAGCCACCUUCCCUUGAGCUUAUACCAUUUUAAACAACCUCUUGUGUAAAUAUUUGAGUCUAACUUUUACAAAGGGAACUGCUAGCUUGGACCUUCGCAUUUAAUUCAGAGCUCAACACAAAUUUGAUUCCCAAUGAAGACUUCUUGAGCUAUACCGAGAGAAGAAGAUCAACAGAAGAUUUCUGGCUUUUUAUUUCGUGCUACUUUUUAAAAUCGCUCCUUCCAUAUAGAAGUCUGAGGUCACAUGGGCUUUUAGCAAGGCUAGGACAGAUCCAUUAUUAUUGUAAAUGGAAAAUGUAGAAAUUAAUACAUAUGCAAUAUGUAUAUAUUUAGAUACACCUCAUAUUGUUCAAACAAAACAAAACAAAAACCCUAAACCCUCUAAAGGGAGGUGAGAGCAAAUAGUCUAGUGAUGAGAGCCAAUAUAGUUACUAUUUUUAUAUCAUAAGUUUCACUCUGAGCUUCUGGCAACAAUAAGAGAAGUGUGAUGGAUUGUAUAAUUAUUUCCUCAUCCCUCAUCCAUCCACGGUCUUGAUCUGUUCCACCACCGUCUGGUCUCCUUCACUUUCCAGUUUCCUUUCCCUGUGCUGGCCCUCAAUUGCUGCUUACAGUCUUCCUGAAAUUCCUUUCAUGGCUUUAAGAAGUUAACACUUCUUUUUAUUCUUUUUAUACUGUGUCCUUGAAAUCUAAGUGAGAUGUAUGUGUU
Molecule: long non-coding RNA, 751 nt
Filed under: Pan troglodytes (chimpanzee)
Lineage: Eukaryota; Metazoa; Chordata; Mammalia; Primates; Hominidae
Description: long non-coding RNA NONPTRT012649
Source: RNAcentral